This 1501-nucleotide ribosomal RNA is filed under the name Enterobacter sp. RNAcentral's name for it is "bacterial SSU rRNA". It matches the Rfam family "Bacterial small subunit ribosomal RNA". Lineage: Bacteria; Pseudomonadati; Pseudomonadota; Gammaproteobacteria; Enterobacterales; Enterobacteriaceae. The record is from RNAcentral.
AGAGUUUGAUCCUGGCUCAGAUUGAACGCUGGCGGCAGGCCUAACACAUGCAAGUCGAGCGGUAGCACAGAGAGCUUGCUCUCGGGUGACGAGCGGCGGACGGGUGAGUAAUGUCUGGGAAACUGCCUGAUGGAGGGGGAUAACUACUGGAAACGGUAGCUAAUACCGCAUAACGUCGCAAGACCAAAGAGGGGGACCUUCGGGCCUCUUGCCAUCAGAUGUGCCCAGAUGGGAUUAGCUAGUAGGUGGGGUAACGGCUCACCUAGGCGACGAUCCCUAGCUGGUCUGAGAGGAUGACCAGCCACACUGGAACUGAGACACGGUCCAGACUCCUACGGGAGGCAGCAGUGGGGAAUAUUGCACAAUGGGCGCAAGCCUGAUGCAGCCAUGCCGCGUGUAUGAAGAAGGCCUUCGGGUUGUAAAGUACUUUCAGCGAGGAGGAAGGUGCUGAGGUUAAUAACCUCAGCAAUUGACGUUACUCGCAGAAGAAGCACCGGCUAACUCCGUGCCAGCAGCCGCGGUAAUACGGAGGGUGCAAGCGUUAAUCGGAAUUACUGGGCGUAAAGCGCACGCAGGCGGUCUGUCAAGUCGGAUGUGAAAUCCCCGGGCUCAACCUGGGAACUGCAUUCGAAACUGGCAGGCUAGAGUCUUGUAGAGGGGGGUAGAAUUCCAGGUGUAGCGGUGAAAUGCGUAGAGAUCUGGAGGAAUACCGGUGGCGAAGGCGGCCCCCUGGACAAAGACUGACGCUCAGGUGCGAAAGCGUGGGGAGCAAACAGGAUUAGAUACCCUGGUAGUCCACGCCGUAAACGAUGUCGACUUGGAGGUUGUGCCCUUGAGGCGUGGCUUCCGGAGCUAACGCGUUAAGUCGACCGCCUGGGGAGUACGGCCGCAAGGUUAAAACUCAAAUGAAUUGACGGGGGCCCGCACAAGCGGUGGAGCAUGUGGUUUAAUUCGAUGCAACGCGAAGAACCUUACCUACUCUUGACAUCCAGAGAACUUAGCAGAGAUGCUUUGGUGCCUUCGGGAACUCUGAGACAGGUGCUGCAUGGCUGUCGUCAGCUCGUGUUGUGAAAUGUUGGGUUAAGUCCCGCAACGAGCGCAACCCUUAUCCUUUGUUGCCAGCGGUUAGGCCGGGAACUCAAAGGAGACUGCCAGUGAUAAACUGGAGGAAGGUGGGGAUGACGUCAAGUCAUCAUGGCCCUUACGAGUAGGGCUACACACGUGCUACAAUGGCGCAUACAAAGAGAAGCGACCUCGCGAGAGCAAGCGGACCUCAUAAAGUGCGUCGUAGUCCGGAUUGGAGUCUGCAACUCGACUCCAUGAAGUCGGAAUCGCUAGUAAUCGUAGAUCAGAAUGCUACGGUGAAUACGUUCCCGGGCCUUGUACACACCGCCCGUCACACCAUGGGAGUGGGUUGCAAAAGAAGUAGGUAGCUUAACCUUCGGGAGGGCGCUUACCACUUUGUGAUUCAUGACUGGGGUGAAGUCGUAACAAGGUAACC